GAUGAACGCUGGCGGCGUGCCUAACACAUGCAAGUCGAGCGAACGGUCCAGAAGUUUGUUUCUUUGUUGUUAGCGGCGGACGGGAGCGUAACCAGUGUACAACCUCCCUAUAAGAAUGGGAUAACUAGGGGACAUCGGAUCUAAUAACGGAUAAUAUUCUGAACCGCAUGGUUCAAUCGUGAUAGUCGGUCUUUCUGACACUUAUAGAUGGUUACGAGCUUCAUUAGCUAGUUGGUAAGGUCACUGAUUAUCAGGGCAACGAAGCAUACCCGACCUGAGAGAGUGGUCGAACACACAGGAGCUGAUACACGGUCCAGACUCCUACGAGAUGCAGCAGAAGGCGAUCUUCCGCAAUGGAGGAAAGUCUGACGAAGCAGCGGCGCGGGAGAGAUGAAGGUGUUCUGGUCGUAAAGCUCUGUAUAUAGGGAAGAACAUAUGUUUAAGUAACUGUGCACAGCGUGACGGUACCUAGUCAGAAAGCCACGGCUAACUACGUG
This 497-nucleotide ribosomal RNA is filed under the name uncultured bacterium. RNAcentral's name for it is "partial 16S ribosomal RNA". It matches the Rfam family "Bacterial small subunit ribosomal RNA", at positions 28 to 507 of the family's 1533-position model. The record is from RNAcentral.